UACAUCUCCAAAGAUGGAGCCCCUGGACGGAAUUCUGGGAGAAACCCUUGGGAGAGCAAAGGCCUUAGAUGCCCUUAGAGUAGCACACCGAAGGCCCAGACGUGCUAGCGACCUACAGCCCCAGUUUGAGUUACCAUGGUAGACACCGUUCAAGGCACACUCACUACCAUAUUAUGAUGAAGUAAGAGGCAGGACACCCCUAGCCCCUACCCCCUCCCCUGUUUCACGUUCUCAC
This is a non-coding RNA of Pelobates cultripes (western spadefoot toad), 235 nucleotides long. The record is from the annotation of a GenBank genome assembly. Lineage: Eukaryota; Metazoa; Chordata; Amphibia; Anura; Pelobatidae.